AGCUCCAAUAGCGUAUAUUAAAGUUGCUGCAGUUAAAAAGCUCGUAGUUGCAUUUCCGAGGCAAGGGAUUAGUCCGACCUUUGGUGGGUAUUUAAUCCUCUUGCCUCGUCCUUGAGUGGUGCUUCUUGGUAUUAAGUUAUCGAGGAGAUAGCCGCUCAUCGUUUACUGUGAGAAAAUUAGAGUGUUCAAAGCAGGCUUAUGCCGUUGAAUAUAUUAGCAUGGAAUAAUAAGAUAGGACCUCGGUACUAUUUUGGUGGUUUGAGAACCAAGGUAAUGAUGAAUAGGGACAGUUGGGGGUAUUCGGAUUCAGUUGUCAGAGGUGAAAUUCUUAGAUUUACGGAAGACGAACUACUGCGAAAGCAUUUACCAAGGAUGUUUUCA
Molecule: ribosomal RNA, 381 nt
Filed under: uncultured marine Chaetocerotaceae
Lineage: Eukaryota; Bacillariophyta; Thalassiosirophyceae; Chaetocerotales; Chaetocerotaceae
Description: SSU rRNA
Rfam family: Eukaryotic small subunit ribosomal RNA
Source: RNAcentral